This 516-nucleotide long non-coding RNA is filed under the name Durio zibethinus. RNAcentral's name for it is "long non-coding RNA (DZIB_LNC001218)". The record is from RNAcentral. Lineage: Eukaryota; Viridiplantae; Streptophyta; Magnoliopsida; Malvales; Malvaceae.
GGCCGCCAGAAAAAUCUUCACUAUCAAAUAAUAGUUAUACAAAGUUCUUCUCUAGCUAAAACUAGAGCUAAUCAACAACUAGAGAAACAAUUGGAGAAAUCUCACCAAAUAAGUGACUCAACAAAUACACCCUGGAUUUGUUCCUAGAGAGCUUCAAACCCGAUCUUCACCGUUCAGAAUGUCAAACUCUGAAUCAUAAACCUCCUGACAAGGUUCCAACUCAAUCGGACCACGGAUCGACUUCCGUUCAACCAACUCUCCCUUCUCCUUUUUCUCUCUCUGCUUUUCCUGGCUUUUCUUCUUUCUCUGCUUGGUUUUCGACACACACCUUAAACAACCCCACCUCUUUUUUAUUAAGUAGCUAGGGCUCUGUGUAAAAUAAAAGAUCAAGGCCCAUGGCCUUUACUUGGUCCAAAACCACUUACAUGGGACUGGACCCCAUUUUCCUAACAAUCUCCCCCUCCAGUCCCAUUAGAAGGAGAUUCAUCACCAUAGCAAUUUCAUUUGGAACUUACC